GAGAAUAGACUUUAAAAUACUUCUGUUAGUCUAUAAAUCCCUGAAUGGCUUAGCACCUAAAUACAUCACAGACUUAUUAUCAGUGUGUAGCCGGGGCACUAUGGCCCUGAAGCAAGGUGCUGCACACCCUUCCUCCUGCCCAUAUUGGGAGGACGCUGUGAUCAGGUGCAGCUGGGGGUAAUCAAGCCCUUCUGGUUAAAAGGGGGCAGAUAGCUGAGGAAAGGACAUUCGAGGCUGGGGAUUCCUUAGAGGCUGACCUGCUACUGUUUCAGUUGUGUUUUUAUUUACUGUUUUAAUCACUGCUUAGACCCUAUUUUAGCUAUUUAUUCCUAGUUUUAACCAAAUGCAGGGGAGAGUUUUUAUUGUUUAGCUCCCCGGGUUGGUUUUAUCUCACCUGAGGUCCUCUGCUGUCCCUGGGUCCUGUGUCGGUUUUAUUUAGAUUGGAUUGAGGGGACUAGUGGGAGGAGAGUUCUUUUCUUUUGUGUUGUAUGCACUAGGGUUUGUGGCGUGAGUGUGUUUUUGUUGGGAGACACCAAGGUGUAUUUCGUUUGUUUUCUUUAGUAGUUCUCCUCCAAAUGGUCUAGUUAAUUCAAUUGGGGUUUUUAACUAUUAGCUAUCAGGUUUCCAGGCCAGCAUAGGUGCCUGUGUUAAGGUGGUUAUUCUUCCCUGAACGGUAAAACAUGUUAAUUGUUUUGUAAAUCCAAUAAACUAUAUUCAAUUUGAA
Long non-coding RNA from Fundulus heteroclitus (mummichog), 724 nucleotides. RefSeq lists it as uncharacterized. The record is from RefSeq and is a predicted model, not a curated record. The transcript has 2 exons. Lineage: Eukaryota; Metazoa; Chordata; Actinopteri; Cyprinodontiformes; Fundulidae.